AGAGUUUGAUCCUGGCUCAAGAUGAACGCUAGCUACAGGCUUAACACAUGCAAGUCGAGGGGCAGCAUGAGCUUAGCUUGCUAGGCUUGAUGGCGACCGGCGCACGGGUGAGUAACACGUAUCCAACCUCCCGCUUACUCAGGAAUAGCCUUUCGAAAGAAAGAUUAAUGCCUGAUGGUAUCUUAAGCACACAUGUAAUUAAGAUUAAAGAUUUAUCGGUAAGCGAUGGGGAUGCGUUCCAUUAGGUAGUAGGCGGGGUAACGGCCCACCUAGCCUACGAUGGAUAGGGGUUCUGAGAGGAAGGUCCCCCACAUUGGAACUGAGACACGGUCCAAACUCCUACGGGAGGCAGCAGUGAGGAAUAUUGGUCAAUGGGCGCGAGCCUGAACCAGCCAAGUAGCGUGAAGGAUGAAGGUCCUACGGAUUGUAAACUUCUUUUAUACGGGAAUAAAGUGGCCUACGUGUAGGCUUUUGCAUGUACCGUAUGAAUAAGCAUCGGCUAACUCCGUGCCAGCAGCCGCGGUAAUACGGAGGAUGCGAGCGUUAUCCGGAUUUAUUGGGUUUAAAGGGAGCGUAGACGGGGGAUUAAGUCAGUUGUGAAAGUUUGCGGCUCAACCGUAAAAUUGCAGUUGAUACUGGUUCCCUUGAGUGCAGUUGAGGCAGGCGGAAUUCGUGGUGUAGCGGUGAAAUGCAUAGAUAUCACGAAGAACCCCGAUUGCGAAGGCAGCCUGCUAAGCUGUAACUGACGUUGAGGCUCGAAAGUGUGGGUAUCAAACAGGAUUAGAUACCCUGGUAGUCCACACGGUAA
RNAcentral lists this ribosomal RNA (808 nucleotides) under uncultured bacterium. Its description in RNAcentral is "bacterial SSU rRNA". It matches the Rfam family "Bacterial small subunit ribosomal RNA", at positions 8 to 805 of the family's 1533-position model. The record is from RNAcentral.